RNAcentral lists this ribosomal RNA (622 nucleotides) under Aerococcus viridans. RNAcentral's name for it is "bacterial SSU rRNA". It matches the Rfam family "Bacterial small subunit ribosomal RNA", at positions 56 to 661 of the family's 1533-position model. Lineage: Bacteria; Bacillati; Bacillota; Bacilli; Lactobacillales; Aerococcaceae. The record is from RNAcentral.
UGCAGUCGAGCGAACAGAUGAAGUGCUUGCACUUCUGACGUUAGCGGCGAACGGGUGAGUAACACGUAAGGAAUCUACCUAUAAGCGGGGGAUAACAUUCGGAAACGGGUGCUAAUACCGCAUAAUAUCUUCUUCCGCAUGGAAGGAGAUUGAAAGACGGCUCUGCUGUCACUUAUAGAUGACCUUGCGGUGCAUUAGUUAGUUGGUGGGGUAACGGCCUACCAAGACGAUGAUGCAUAGCCGACCUGAGAGGGUGAUCGGCCACAUUGGGACUGAGACACGGCCCAAACUCCUACGGGAGGCAGCAGUAGGGAAUCUUCCGCAAUGGGCGAAAGCCUGACGGAGCAAUGCCGCGUGAGUGAAGAAGGCCUUCGGGUCGUAAAACUCUGUUAUAAGAGAAGAACAAAUUGUAGAGUAACUGCUACAGUCUUGACGGUAUCUUAUCAGAAAGCCACGGCUAACUACGUGCCAGCAGCCGCGGUAAUACGUAGGUGGCAAGCGUUGUCCGGAUUUAUUGGGCGUAAAGGGAGCGCAGGUGGUUUCUUAAGUCUGAUGUGAAAGCCCACGGCUUAACCGUGGAGGGUCAUUGGAAACUGGGAAACUUGAGUACAGAAGAGGAAUG